CGAUAACGAACGAGACCUUAACCUGCUAAAUAGUUAGGCCAACGUUUGUUGGUCGUCAACUUCUUAGAGGGACUAUUGACUAUUAGUCAAUGGAAGUUUGAGGCAAUAACAGGUCUGUGAUGCCCUUAGAUGUUCUGGGCCGCACGCGCGCUACACUGAUCAAGUCAACGAGUUUACAACCUUGGCCGGAAGGUCUGGGUAAUCUUUUGAAACUUGAUCGUGCUGGGGAUAGUCCAUUGCAAUUAUUGGACUUCAACGAGGAAUUCCUAGUAAGCGUGAGUCAUCAGCUCGCGUUGAUUACGUCCCUGCCCUUUGUACACACCGCCCGUCGCUACUACCGAUUGAAGGGCU
Molecule: ribosomal RNA, 351 nt
Filed under: uncultured fungus
Lineage: Eukaryota; Fungi
Description: SSU rRNA
Rfam family: Eukaryotic small subunit ribosomal RNA
Source: RNAcentral